UCAAGCGAAUAAGCGCACACGGUGGAUGCCUUGGCGGUCAGAGGCGAUGAAGGACGUGGCAGCCUGCGAAAAGUAUCGGGGAGCUGGCAACAAGCUUUGAUCCGGUAAUGUCCGAAUGGGGAAACCCACCCGCUUGCGGGUAUCCUGCAGUGAAUACAUAGCUGCUGGAAGCGAACCUGGUGAACUGAAAUAUCUAAGUAACCAGAGGAAAAGAAAUCAACCGAGAUUCCGUAAGUAGCGACGAGCGAACGCGGACUAGCCCUUAAGCUGGAUUGGUUCUAGGAAAACGCUCUGGAAAGAGCGGCCAUAGAAGGUGAUAGCCCUGUAUCUGAAAGGGCCAUUCCAGUGAAGACGAGUAGGGCGGGGCACGUGAAACCCUGUCUGAACAUGGGGGGACCAUCCUCCAAGGCUAAAUACUACUGACCGACCGAUAGUGAACCAGUACCGUGAGGGAAAGGCGAAAAGAACCCCGGAGAGGGGAGUGAAAUAGAACCUGAAACCGUGUGCGUACAAGCAGUAGGAGCUCCGCAAGGAGUGACUGCGUACCUUUUGUAUAAUGGGUCAGCGACUUACUGUUCGUGGCAAGCUUAACCGUAUAGGGGAGGCGAAGGGAAACCGAGUCUGAUAAGGGCGCAUAGUCGCGGGCAGUAGACCCGAAACCGGGUGAUCUAGUCAUGCCCAGGGUGAAGGUGCGGUAACACGCACUGGAGGCCCGAACCCACUCCCGUUGCAAAGGUAGGGGAUGAGGUGUGAUUAGGAGUGAAAAGCUAAUCGAACCCGGAGAUAGCUGGUUCUCCUCGAAAGCUAUUUAGGUAGCGCCUCAUAUGUAUCCUCUCGGGGGUAGAGCACUGUUAUGGCUAGGGGGUCAUCGCGACUUACCAAACCAUUGCAAACUCCGAAUACCGAGACGGACUGUAUGGGAGACACACGGCGGGUGCUAACGUCCGUCGUGAAAAGGGAAACAACCCAGACCCACAGCUAAGGUCCCAAAUUCACUGCUAAGUGGAAAACCAUGUGGAAAGGCACAGACAGCCAGGAGGUUGGCUUAGAAGCAGCCACCCUUUAAAGAAAGCGUAAUAGCUCACUGGUCGAGUCGGUCUGCGGGGAAGAUUUAACGGGGCUAAGCAGUGAACCGAAGCUUGGGGUGCAUAACUUUGUUAUGCGCGGUAGAGGAGCGUUCCGUAAGCCGUUGAAGGUGGAUUGAGAAGUCUGCUGGAGGUAUCGGAAGUGCGAAUGCUGACAUGAGUAACGAUAAUGCGGGUGAAAAACCCGCACGCCGAAAGCCCAAGGUUUCCUUGCGCAACGUUAAUCGGCGCAGGGUGAGUCGGCCCCUAAGGCGAGGACGAAAGUCGUAGUCGAUGGGAAGCAGGUUAAUAUUCCUGCACCUCGCGUAAGUGCGAUGGAGGGACGGAGAAGGUUAGGUGUACCAGGCGUUGGUUGUCCUGGGGAAAGGCGGUAGGUUUGGAUCUUUGGCAAAUCCGGGAUCCUCUAAGACCGAGCACCGAGACGAGCCUUUAUGGCGAAGUCACUGAUACCACGCUUCCAGGAAAAGCUCCUAAGCUUCAGCUUACGCAGACCGUACCGUAAACCGACACAGGUGGGUAGGAUGAGAAUUCUCAGGCGCUUGAGAGAACUCGGGUGAAGGAACUAGGCAACAUGGCACCGUAACUUCGGGAGAAGGUGCACCCUUUUUGGUGGCUCGUGCGAGCUAUAGCUGAAGAGGGUCGCAGUAACCAGGCCGCUGCGACUGUUUAUCAAAAACACAGCACUCUGCAAACACGAAAGUGGACGUAUAGGGUGUGACGCCUGCCCGGUGCUGGAAGGUUAAUUGAUGGGGUCAGCCGCAAGGCGAAGCUCUUGAUCGAAGCCCCAGUAAACGGCGGCCGUAACUAUAACGGUCCUAAGGUAGCGAAAUUCCUUGUCGGGUAAGUUCCGACCUGCACGAAUGGCGUAACGACAGCGGCGCUGUCUCCACCCGAGACUCAGUGAAAUUGAAAUCGCUGUGAAGAUGCAGCGUUCCCGUGGCAAGACGGAAAGACCCCGUGAACCUUUACUAUAGCUUUACACUGAACGUUGAGUUCGUCUGUGUAGGAUAGGUGGGAGGCUAUGAAACUGUGGCGCUAGCUGCAGCGGAGCCAUCCUUGAAAUACCACCCUGUCGUGCUUGACGUUCUAACCUGGGCCCAUUAUCUGGGUCGGGGACCGUGUAUGGUGGGUAGUUUGACUGGGGCGGUCUCCUCCUAAAGAGUAACGGAGGAGCUCGAAGGUACGCUCAGCGCGGUCGGACAUCGCGCACUGUGUGCAAAGGCAUAAGCGUGCUUGACUGCAAGAUCGACGGAUCAAGCAGGUAGGAAACUAGGACUUAGUGAUCCGGUGGUUCUGUAUGGAAGGGCCAUCGCUCAACGGAUAAAAGGUACUCCGGGGAUAACAGGCUGAUACCGCCCAAGAGUUCAUAUCGACGGCGGUGUUUGGCACCUCGAUGUCGGCUCAUCACAUCCUGGGGCUGUAGUCGGUCCCAAGGGUAUGGCUGUUCGCCAUUUAAAGUGGUACGCGAGCUGGGUUCAGAACGUCGUGAGACAGUUCGGUCCCUAUCUGCCAUGGGCGUUGGAGAUUUGAGAGGGGCUGCUCCUAGUACGAGAGGACCGGAGUGGACGAACCUCUGGUGUUCCGGUUGUCACGCCAGUGGCAUUGCCGGGUAGCUAUGUUCGGAAGCGAUAACCGCUGAAAGCAUCUAAGCGGGAAGCGCGCCUCAAGAUGAGAUCUCCCGGGGCACAAGCCCCCUGAAGGAACCAUGUAGACUACGUGGUUGAUAGGUCAGGUGUGUAAGUACAGCAAUGUAUUGAGCUAACUGAUACUAAUGAUCCGUGCGGCUUGACCAU
This 2878-nucleotide ribosomal RNA is filed under the name Acinetobacter baumannii. RNAcentral describes it as "bacterial LSU rRNA". It matches the Rfam family "Bacterial large subunit ribosomal RNA". Lineage: Bacteria; Pseudomonadati; Pseudomonadota; Gammaproteobacteria; Moraxellales; Moraxellaceae. The record is from RNAcentral.